ACAACCUUACAUGAUGUACCAUCUUUCUCGAAUAUGAAUGUUUCUUCCAUUUUUGCAGCUGAGUUUGGAAUAGCGGUCAUUUGAAAAGAAUUUUAGUUACUUAGAAUGAGUACACAGUUCCCGUCGAACGAGGAAUUAUUUUUGCUAAUUCAGGACAUCAUUCGCACACACCAACAACAAACCUCUGUCAUUCUCCACGAGUUUUUCCAACUGAACAAUGUUGGUAGGCGGUCGAGAGCAAACAAUCCACGAUGUUUAUUUCGUCGUUUAGCCCGCAUCCCCACCCAAGUGAGGCGUUUAAAUAGAUUAGCAGGUGUCUCUGACCGAUCUUGCUUAGAUAAUCUGCAUAUGGAUCGUAAUUAUUUUGGGAGGCUUUGUAUACUUUUUAGAGAACGAGCUGGGUUGGUUGACGGAGCGUUUGUUAAAGUGGAAGAACAAGUAGCAAUUUUCUUAUGUGUAUUAGCACACCAUAAAAAAAACAGGAUAGUAAGCUUUGAAUUUUUGCCCUCCAAGCAUACGGUUUCACACUAUGUACAUGUAGUCCUCAACGCCCUAAUAAAACUUCAUGCUCUGUUUGUUGUGAAACCUACUCCAGUACCAGAUGAUUGUGUCGACAAUAGGUGGAAAUGGUUUAAGGGUUGUUUGGGUGCUUUAGAUGGCACCUAUAUCACUGUGUGAGUAGACAUGGCUGACAAACCAAGAUAUCGAACUAGGAAGGGGCAUAUAGCGACAAACACUCUGGCUGCAUGCACUAGAGACAUGCGUUUUACAUAUGUGUUGCCUGGGUGGGAAGGGUCGGCUGGUGAUGCACGAGUCCUACAGGACGCCGUGACACGCGAAUUUGGACUUAAAGUGCCUAGAGGUCACUAUUAUCUAUGUGACAAUGGAUAUGCAAAUAGUGAAGGAUUUUUAACACCUUAUAAAGGAGUUAGAUACCACCUAAAAUAAUGGGGUCCAAACACUAGAGGCCCAAGAAUCCUCGUGAAAUAUUUAACAUGCGGCAUACCAGUGCGAGAAAUGUUAUUGAAAGGGCAUUUGUGGUACUUAAAAUGCGCUGGAGCAUUCUCCGUAGCCCAUCAUUCUACCCGAUAAAAAUACAAAUCAGGUUGAUUAUGGCUUGUUUUCUGUUACAUAAUUACAUUCGAGGUGAGAUGAUUGUAGAUCCAAUUGAGGAGUUAGUGGAUAAUA
Molecule: long non-coding RNA, 1188 nt
Organism: Salvia splendens (bonfire salvia)
Lineage: Eukaryota; Viridiplantae; Streptophyta; Magnoliopsida; Lamiales; Lamiaceae
Exons: 3
Source: RefSeq, a predicted model, not a curated record